UAGGGAAUAUUGGGCAAUGGAUGCAAGUCUGACCCAGCCAUGCCGCGUGCCGGAUGAAGGCCCUCAGGGUUGUAAACGGCUUUUAUUCGGGAAGAAGAGCGAGGAUGCGUCCUUGUGUGACGGUACCGAAUGAAUAAGCACCGGCUAACUCCGUGCCAGCAGCCGCGGUAAUACGGAGGGUGCGAGCGUUGUCCGGAUUUAUUGGGUUUAAAGGGUGCGUAGGUGGCUAUUUAAGUCAGUGGUGAAAUACAGCCGCUCAACGGUUGAGGUGCCAUUGAUACUGAAUAGCUUGAAAGAAUUGGAGGCUGCCGGAAUGGAUGGUGUAGCGGUGAAAUGCAUAGAUAUCAUCCAGAACACCGAUUGCGAAGGCAGGUGGCUACGAUUUAUUUGACACUGAGGCACGAAAGCAUGGGGAGCAAACA
Molecule: ribosomal RNA, 422 nt
Filed under: uncultured Dyadobacter sp.
Lineage: Bacteria; Pseudomonadati; Bacteroidota; Cytophagia; Cytophagales; Spirosomataceae
Description: bacterial SSU rRNA
Rfam family: Bacterial small subunit ribosomal RNA
Source: RNAcentral